Molecule: ribosomal RNA, 475 nt
Filed under: uncultured bacterium
Lineage: Bacteria
Description: bacterial SSU rRNA
Rfam family: Bacterial small subunit ribosomal RNA
Source: RNAcentral
AUGAACGCUAGCGGCAGGCUUAAUACAUGCAAGUCGAACGGCAGCACUUCGGGUGGCGAGUGGCGCACGGGUGAGUAACGCGUACAAAAUCUACCUCUAACUGGGGGAAAGUCGCUGGAAACGGCGAAUAAUCCCGCAUAAGACCCCACUGCCGCAUGGCAGAGUGGUAAAAGACUUCGGUUGGUAAGAGAUGAUUGUGCGUUCCAUUAGCUAGUUGGUAAGGUAACGGCUUACCAAGGCUACGAUGGUUAGGGGGCGUGAGAGCGUGAUCCCCCACACGGGUACUGAGACACGGACCCGACUCCUACGGGAGGCAGCAGUAAGGAAUAUUGGUCAAUGGAGGCAACUCUGAACCAGCCAUGCCGCGUGUGUGACGAAGGCCCUUUGGGUUGUAAAGCACUUUUGUCUGGGAAGAAUGGCAGAGAUUCAUCUUUGUAGGGACGGUACCAGAAGAAUAAGCACCGGCUAACUCCGU